Molecule: long non-coding RNA, 282 nt
Filed under: Carica papaya (papaya)
Lineage: Eukaryota; Viridiplantae; Streptophyta; Magnoliopsida; Brassicales; Caricaceae
Description: long non-coding RNA (CPAP_LNC001809)
Source: RNAcentral
ACAUACUUUAUAGUUUCUUUUAUUUUUCUCAUUUCUCAUAUUUCUUUUAGAGAACUUAUUCCGUGAUAUUGUUUAGUACUUUUAAGCUAUUGUGUAAGGGAUGUUAACCUUAAUAUUUUAUUUCGCUUUCGCACUCAGAUUAUUAUAUGUAUUUUUUUUUGAAUUUUCGGGGCCGUUACACAUUUCAUAUCUAAUGAACAAGAAUAGCGACUUACAUUUUUACAUGUUUACCAGUAUUUUUGGGGAUCCAUAAGGGUCCCCCUUAUGCAUGGGCCUAAUAUU